This 449-nucleotide ribosomal RNA is filed under the name uncultured bacterium. RNAcentral's name for it is "partial 16S ribosomal RNA". It matches the Rfam family "Bacterial small subunit ribosomal RNA", at positions 28 to 523 of the family's 1533-position model. The record is from RNAcentral.
GAUGAACGCUGGCGGCAUGCCUAACACAUGCAAGUCGAACGAGAUCUUCGGGUCUAGUGGCGCACGGGUGCGUAACGCGUGGGAAUCUGCCCUUUGGUUCGGAAUAACAGUUGGAAACGACUGCUAAUACCGGAUGAUGACGAAAGUCCAAAGAUUUAUCGCCAGAGGAUGAGCCCGCGUAGGAUUAGCUAGUUGGUGUGGUAAAGGCGCACCAAGGCGACGAUCCUUAGCUGGUCUGAGAGGAUGAUCAGCCACACUGGGACUGGGACACGGCCCAGACUCCUACGGGAGGCAGCAGUGGGGAAUAUUGGACAAUGGGCGAAAGCCUGAUCCAGCAAUGCCGCGUGAGUGAUGAAGGCCUUAGGGUUGUAAAGCUCUUUUACCCGGGAUGAUAAUGACAGUACCGGGAGAAUAAGCUCCGGCUAACUCCGUGCCAGCCGCCGCCGUAA